GGUGUAAGAUGUGGACGGGGCCUAAUGCUGUUGUGGAACGUCAUCUUGGUUUUUUUUAAAAAAAAUCUUGAAAUAGUGACAAAAGAUGACAAGAGGUUUGUUUUGAUGUUGUGUAGGAUGGAGAGUCUCUUUCUCAAUCUCAUGCAAAUAAACAAAACUAAUUUAAUUAUAAUUACGCUAAGAAUAAAGAAAAAUUAAUAUGACUUCACGUGAUCAAAAGGCAAAAUUGAAUUAAACAACCACAAUUGCAUCUCAAUUUACAAUUACACGAGCUUUAUACAGUAUGUGAAUAAAUGCAUGAUCUUAUGAGGCUCAUGUAGUCAAAAAUCAUCAUAUGAUAUACAAACCACCGGUCAUAACAACGAGAGUAGAUCUCUCCUGCAAUCGCAAAUUGAAAGAAGUUUUUACUUAGGGGA
This 416-nucleotide long non-coding RNA is filed under the name Elaeis guineensis (African oil palm). RNAcentral describes it as "long non-coding RNA (EGUI_LNC021999)". The record is from RNAcentral. Lineage: Eukaryota; Viridiplantae; Streptophyta; Magnoliopsida; Arecales; Arecaceae.